This 469-nucleotide ribosomal RNA is filed under the name uncultured bacterium. Its description in RNAcentral is "partial 16S ribosomal RNA". It matches the Rfam family "Bacterial small subunit ribosomal RNA", at positions 28 to 507 of the family's 1533-position model. The record is from RNAcentral.
GACGAACGCUGGCGGCGUGCUUAACACAUUCAAGUCGAACGGAAAGGCCCUGCUUUUGUGGGGUGCUCGAGUGGCGAACGGGUGAGUAACACGUGAGUAACCUGCCCUUGACUUUGGGAUAACUUCAGGAAACUGGGGCUAAUACCGGAUAGGAGCUCCUGCUGCAUGGUGGGGGUUGGAAAGUUUCGGCGGUUGGGGAUGGACUCGCGGCUUAUCAGCUUGUUGGUGGGGUAGUGGCUUACCAAGGCUUUGACGGGUAGCCGGCCUGAGAGGGUGACCGGCCACAUUGGGACUGAGAUACGGCCCAGACUCCUACGGGAGGCAGCAGUGGGGAAUAUUGCACAAUGGGUGGAAGCCUGAUGCAGCAACGCCGUGUGCGGGAUGACGGCCUUCGGGUUGUAAACCGCUUUCGCUCAUGACGAAGCUUUGUGUGACGGUAGUGGGUAAAGAAGCACCGGCUAACUACGUG